Non-coding RNA from Obba rivulosa, 85 nucleotides. NCBI's taxonomy places the organism in Eukaryota, Fungi, Basidiomycota, Agaricomycetes, Polyporales, Gelatoporiaceae. The record is from the annotation of a GenBank genome assembly.
GGGCAUGUGGUGUAGUUGGUUAUCACGCUCGCUUAGCACCAGUGUUGUUUGCGAGAGGGGUCCGGUUCGAUCCCGGACAUGUCCA